This 253-nucleotide ribosomal RNA is filed under the name uncultured bacterium. RNAcentral describes it as "partial 16S ribosomal RNA". It matches the Rfam family "Bacterial small subunit ribosomal RNA", at positions 524 to 776 of the family's 1533-position model. The record is from RNAcentral.
UACAGGGGGGGCAAGCGUUGUUCGGAAUUACUGGGCGUAAAGGGUCUGUAGGUGGCUUGCUAAGUCAGACGUGAAAUCCCUCAGCUUAACUGGGGAACUGCGUCUGAUACUGGUGAGCUUGAGUGCAGGAGAGGAACGCGGAAUUCCAGGUGUAGCGGUGAAAUGCGUAGAUAUCUGGAGGAACACCGGUGGCGAAGGCGGCGUUCUGGGAAGAUACUGACGCUGAGGUGCGAAAGCGUGGGGAGCAAACAGG